This 481-nucleotide long non-coding RNA is filed under the name Ananas comosus (pineapple). Its description in RNAcentral is "long non-coding RNA (ACOM_LNC003378)". Lineage: Eukaryota; Viridiplantae; Streptophyta; Magnoliopsida; Poales; Bromeliaceae. The record is from RNAcentral.
AUAGUCUCAUCUAGGAUAGAAAUGAAGUUGUGAUUAGAAAUAUAAAGAGCUACAUAGACUCUAACAAUAAUAACCGUGGUUAAGCAUUUUCAGCUAGUGGUUUGGAUCCAAAGGGUAAAUUGUCCAAAAUACCCGAUAUCCCAUACCCGGCUCAUAUCCUAUCCGGACCCAAACCGAAUAAAAAUUGGAUAGCAUACGGGUAAAAAAAAAUUACCCAUUAAAGUUUUAGGUAUAUAUGAAUCCGGAUAUUUUAUACCUAUAUCUAACUUGGACCGGAUCCAAACCCAAUCUUUUAAUGGGUAGGGUCCGGAAUAGUUUUCAAAUAUGAACCUAGACCCGGUGAAAUACUAGAUAGUAAAUAAAAAAAUAUUAAAAUUAAGGGAUCAAUUUUAAUAGGACUUAUAGAUGAGGGAUCUCUGGGUAUUUUUAUCAUAGUGAAAACCUAACUGCCCUGUUUACUCUUUUUCUUCAAUUUUUCUUA